Triticum aestivum (bread wheat) is the source of this 3153-nucleotide long non-coding RNA. RefSeq lists it as uncharacterized. The record is from RefSeq and is a predicted model, not a curated record. The transcript has 7 exons. NCBI's taxonomy places the organism in Eukaryota, Viridiplantae, Streptophyta, Magnoliopsida, Poales, Poaceae.
CUGCAGGAGAGAGAGAAGAUAAGACGGAGAGAGAAGGAGGAGAGGAGGGAGAGGAAAAGAGGUGCGGUGGCAGGGAAAUCAUCGUCGGAUGCGUCUUAUAUGUGAUGGGUGUGUUCCCAUCAAGUCGAUGGUGGGGUUGAUGUGCCCGUCGAUUCGUGAUCCGCUGGCUGAGCUCAUCUUCUCAAUGGCGGACUGGUGUUCUAUGUUAGUCGGAGCCAUUGUAUGUGGUUGUGCAGUUGCUGAUGUACAGGAGGCGUCCGUGGUGUCAGUUCUUCGUCGCCCAUGCUUAUCUUCUAUAUGCUCUAGCAGCCAGUUCAAGUCAGGCAACUUCUCCUGGGCGAUCGUGCGUACUUGGUCGCUGUGGCUCCUUUGGGCCUUUUUCGACGCCUGGGAAUCAGAAUUAAUAAAAUGGAGAUAAGGAACCAUGUAGUUCACUGAGCAGCUAUAAAGCCUAAGAUAAACUACAAUAAACAGAAAGUUGAGGAAUCAACCAAAUGUGUAGAAAUUUUAGUGACUAACUUAUGACUUGUUUAUUUCAGAGAAACUAAUGACUUAUCAAUCCAACAGACAGUAUGAAGUUGUGCCAAGUAAAGCCAAAAAAGAAACUGUAUGUAUAUAACGGAGUAGCGGAUGCGGUUCAAGCUGUUUUUUUGCCUGCUUAUUUUUUAUGUAGCUUUUUUGGCCUGCUUGUCAGUGAUGCAAUGCCUUAUGGAGUAACGAAAGCCUAGAAUGAGAGUUAGGGAAAAUGAAAUGGACACCAAAUUUGGUGAGGCUUAUAUACUCUGAACUUGGAGCCAAGUAGAAACCCCAGUGUUAGCUGAACAGAAAAUUUAAUGUGUUAAGUUAUGCAUAUUGCAUUGUACCCAAAUAAUUCAAAUAAGUGUUAACUCAAAGGAUUGUUUUUGUAGAGGUCCAUAUGCAAUUCAUCAGAUACAGAUAAAGGGUUAGUAUCUCCCAUGUGUGCAAAAUUGGUGUGCAGAUAGCAAUUCACAGACCACUUUCCCUGUCAGUAUGCUAACAUUUUCGUAUAUGCAUUUAUAAUUAAAAUUAUUAAUAAUAGCAUAAUGAAUCAUUAAUCAGUCCCUCUACUGUCUGCACAUGCUUAAAACUCAACCAUGGUAUCAUUAUGGAAUUUGAACAACCUAGGCCCCCACAGACACUAGCAAAUCAACCUAGCUACUGCAUUUCCCUUUUGCCCAAUUAUCCCCAUAUAUCUUCAAUUUGGUGCAGGAACCUCAAAUUAUGUAAAAUUUGGUGCUAAUCAACCGGGUGCAUACCUGCAGCCUUGAGGAGCAGUACUGAGGCAGGAGGUGUCUUCAAGAUAAAGCAGGAUUUAAUUGAUGGAGUCCUGCUGCUAAAGGACUGCUAAAGGACGUGAACAGGAAGUCCUAUCGCUGGAUGUUUAUUGUCCGAAUUGCAAGGAUCUGGGAAUACAUGAGUACAGACCCUAUCGAAUUCUAUAGCUCUAUUCAUUGGCACAGCAGUUGAUCAAUUUUGAGAUGGCACAUCAACAUUAUGUACCUGAAGCGAUCGCUACAGAAGGAAGGUACCAAACAAGAUUAACUGUUUCUAUGCUUCUCAAAAUACUUUAGUAUAUGCCCAUAAUAUCACAGUAUGAAUUGCUGUGUGGGAAGUUUGCUUUUCCUACCAUCAUGGAAUAAUAAUUCAUUUUUUAGUUUGAUAUAUUCCGCGCCCAAUUAACUAUUUGUAUUUGCCAGAGAAUGCAGAAAAAAAUACUAACCUGCUUGUGUUCCCGAGAGAGUGUAUUUUCUCCAUACCUCAACAUUCUUGAUACAUAUGGUCAUCUCUGUUCUGGACAACACACUUGACGACCUCUCUUCAUGGCACAAAACUGAAACUGUGCCAUUAAUAUAUUUUCCUUGCAUGCUUGUCUAAAUAAAGGGUGCAAUACACAUGGCAUAGUCGCAUAGAUAUACAAAUCCCUUAUUCCUGUGAGCAAGACUGAAGCUUGCUACUUGUUAAGACCAGUCAUAAACAUUUCUGUGAUUGUAGCUGAUUCCCGUCAGUGAAACUUUGCCAUGACCAUUGUUUAUUCAGUGAAAUAGCUGAUUCCAAUCAUCCAUCAACUAGAUUUGUGAUAAUCACAACAACAAGCUUAUAUCUUACAAAUCGCCUGAUUGGUGAUUAUCCAUUUUAUAUGAUGUUUUUCAUUUGCAAGCGCUGAGUUUUUUCCUUUCAAGUUUCUCUCUCUUACUCUAUUUCAUUAAAUAUAUUUCUCCUCUCACUCCAUCAUUCAGUCUGUCGGUUACUCAUGAUGAGUGAUUAUAUGCAAUCAUCCGACAAUAAUUAGUAUAGAUAAUUAGUUAUGCCAGGUUGCUACAUUUCAAUCUCCUUUUUGCCAAUAUGAAAUAUGAUGGCAUAUUAAUAUUGAGAGACAGUCUCGUCGUCCGCUGCAGCAUCACCCUUCUUUUUCGCCGCCCUAACUUUUUUGCACCCCAGGCCUAGCACGCGAUAACGGCGCCAUGAGGAUUCUCUGCCGUGAGGAGUACCCCGACCCGUAUGAUGGCCACCGGAAGGUCACACACUUCUUUGGCUCGCUCCGACUGGCUCCAUUGACGACUUCUCUAAGGUGUAUUUGUUGGGUUCCUCUUGGCGUGUCGAACAAAAAUUGGCGUUCAGCACUGCUAUUUAAAGAUGGUUUGAUCAGUACUACAGAAAACCCAUAGAUUAUUGUAGGUAUCUAAGAAUGAUGAUGAUUACACUCGGAGCAAGCCUUGUUGCGACGCUACAAGUGUUGCCCUCCUCCUCCCCAAGGGCAAGGUGAAGGAAGGUGCCUGUGUGGUUCUUCUGCAGCUCGUAGCGAGGAUUGCUGUGUCCAACCUGCACAAGAAUGCCAAGAAGUCCUUCUCGGAGACGUAAGCCAUGGCGCAUGUUUCUGCCAUGAUUUCCUUUGGUUGGAUUUCGUGGAUUUAGGUGUUGAAAAAUUAUGGGCUGUGGAUGCAGGAUUAAGGACAUGUACUUGCACUACAACGAGAGAUCUGGGCUGCUUCUUUGUGGCUUCCAAACUUGAAGUGUUUGUUUGGAAGUUAGUUUAGUUUUUUGUUGUGGAUUCACAGCUUCUCACAUGUACCAUCCUCUUAGACCUUUAGAUUUCCAAAGAAACUAAAUGAAGAUGUGGUGGUAUGGUCUCAA